RNAcentral lists this ribosomal RNA (671 nucleotides) under Bacillus subtilis. RNAcentral's name for it is "bacterial SSU rRNA". It matches the Rfam family "Bacterial small subunit ribosomal RNA", at positions 56 to 707 of the family's 1533-position model. Lineage: Bacteria; Bacillati; Bacillota; Bacilli; Caryophanales; Bacillaceae. The record is from RNAcentral.
UGCAAGUCGAGCGGACAGAUGGGAGCUUGCUCCCUGAUGUUAGCGGCGGACGGGUGAGUAACACGUGGGUAACCUGCCUGUAAGACUGGGAUAACUCCGGGAAACCGGGGCUAAUACCGGAUGGUUGUUUGAACCGCAUGGUUCAAACAUAAAAGGUGGCUUCGGCUACCACUUACAGAUGGACCCGCGGCGCAUUAGCUAGUUGGUGAGGUAAUGGCUCACCAAGGCAACGAUGCGUAGCCGACCUGAGAGGGUGAUCGGCCACACUGGGACUGAGACACGGCCCAGACUCCUACGGGAGGCAGCAGUAGGGAAUCUUCCGCAAUGGACGAAAGUCUGACGGAGCAACGCCGCGUGAGUGAUGAAGGUUUUCGGAUCGUAAAGCUCUGUUGUUAGGGAAGAACAAGUACCGUUCGAAUAGGGCGGUACCUUGACGGUACCUAACCAGAAAGCCACGGCUAACUACGUGCCAGCAGCCGCGGUAAUACGUAGGUGGCAAGCGUUGUCCGGAAUUAUUGGGCGUAAAGGGCUCGCAGGCGGUUUUCUUAAGUCUGAUGUGAAAGCCCCCGGCUCAACCCGGGGAGGGUCAUUGGAAACUGGGGAACUUGAGUGCAGAAGAGGAGAGUGGAAUUCCACGUGUAGCGGUGAAAUGCGUAGAGAUGUGGAGGAAC